GCUUGUCUCAAAGAUUAAGCCAUGCAUGUUCAAACAUAAGUAUUAUAAAGCGAAGUUGCGAAUGGCUCAUUAUAUCAGUUAUAGUCUACUCGAUAGUACCUUACUACUUGGAUAACCGUAGUAAUUCUAGAGCUAAUACAUGCGUAAAUACCCAACUGCUUGUCGGACGGGUAGCAUUUAUUAGAUUGAAACCAAUGCAGCUUCGGCUGGUAUUGUGUUGAGUCAUAAUAACUGUGCGGAUCGCUUUUUAAGCGAUAAAUCGAUUGAGUUUCUGCCCUAUCAGCUUUGGAUGGUAGGAUAUGGGCCUACCAUGGCGUUAACGGGUAACGGGGAAUUAGGGUUUGAUUCCGGAGAGGGAGCCUUAGAAACGGCUACCACAUCCAAGGAAGGCAGCAGG
This 397-nucleotide ribosomal RNA is filed under the name uncultured Saprolegniales. RNAcentral describes it as "partial small subunit ribosomal RNA". It matches the Rfam family "Eukaryotic small subunit ribosomal RNA", at positions 30 to 432 of the family's 1831-position model. The record is from RNAcentral. Lineage: Eukaryota; Oomycota; Saprolegniomycetes; Saprolegniales.